Molecule: long non-coding RNA, 523 nt
Filed under: Homo sapiens (human)
Lineage: Eukaryota; Metazoa; Chordata; Mammalia; Primates; Hominidae
Description: non-protein coding ITGA9-AS1:46
Source: RNAcentral
CUCCGCCGCGGGCUCUGCCCGCUCGCCUGCUCGCCUGGUGGGGGAGAGGGGAGCGGGGCCGACACAGGACUGCAGUUGACAGCAGAUAACUGAAAGCUCGGAAAGCGAAACCGUGGAUAAGCAGGGGAACUGUGGCAUCCCAUUUAAAAUUGCUUCUGAAGAGAAGCAUGAGGUUACAUCUGUAAUCUCCCUGCAGCAGAGUCAACUGCAUAAGAAACCAAAAGACACACCUGCUCCAUGCCAGCUUCGAUAAUUUCUUUGUACCUUCGGCGAAAGAAGCCCAUCUGAAAGGCAGAAAGAAAGAGAAGCUGAGUUAGAAGUGCUGAAGAAUCAGCCAUUGUGACCCCAAGGCAGUCUGUCCCUGGCCUAAGCCACCACAUAAAAAGUCAGACCAUCUGCUGGAAGAACCACAUGGAGAGGCCCUGAGUCAACAUGGAGAGGAAGAAGGACUUGACUGAAUCCAGCCUUCCAGCUGUCCCUACCAAGGUGCCAGGCAUGAGAAUGAAGCUGUCUUGAACUCUGA